GAGGUCCAGCCUGCCCAGUGACUGUUCAACGGCCGCGGUAUUCUAACCGUGCGAAGGUAGCGUAAUCACUUGUCUCCUAAAUAGAGACCUGUAUGAAAGGCAUCACGAGGGCUUAGCUGUCUCCUGUUUCUGAUCAGUGAAACUAAUCUCCUCGUGACAAAGCGAAGAUCCCCCUAUAAGACGAGAAGACCCUAUGGAGCUUAAAACAAUUGUGUGUUUUUGGUUGGGGUGACCGCGGAGAAAAACUUAUCCUCCAAAAUGAAAUACAAGUUACAACUUUAAGUAUCAAAAAAUUGACAUUCUGACCCAAUAAAUUGAUCAAUGAACUAAGUUACCCUAGGGAUAACAGCACAAUCCACCUUGAGAGCUCCUAUCGACAGGUGGGCUUAUGACCUCGAUGUUGGAUUAGGGCAU
This 414-nucleotide ribosomal RNA is filed under the name Pristimantis achuar. RNAcentral describes it as "partial 16S ribosomal RNA". It matches the Rfam family "Bacterial large subunit ribosomal RNA", at positions 1849 to 2545 of the family's 2925-position model. Lineage: Eukaryota; Metazoa; Chordata; Amphibia; Anura; Strabomantidae. The record is from RNAcentral.